Molecule: ribosomal RNA, 441 nt
Filed under: uncultured bacterium
Lineage: Bacteria
Description: partial 16S ribosomal RNA
Rfam family: Bacterial small subunit ribosomal RNA
Source: RNAcentral
CCUACGGGUGGCAGCAGUGGUGAAUAUUGCACAAUGGGGGAAACCCUGAUGCAGCGACGCCGCGUGAGUGAAGAGGUAAUUCGUGAUGUAAAGCUCUAUCAGCAGGGAAGAAAAUGACGGUACCUGAGUAAGAAGCCCCGGCUAACUACGUGCCAGCAGCCGCGGUAAUACGUAUGGGGCAAGCGUUAUCCGGAUUUACGGGGGGUAAAGGGAGCGUAGACGGCAGUGCAAGUAUGGGGUUAAAGGCGGGGGCUCAACCAUUCAGACUAUUAGCUAAACUGGUAAGCUCGAGACCGUUAGGGGUAACUGGAAUUUCUAGUGUAGGAGUGAAAUCCGUAGAUAUUAGAAGGAACACCAAUAGCGUAGGCAGGUUGCUGGGACGGUUCUGACACUGAGGCACGAAAGCGUAGGGAGCAAACAGGAUUAGAUACCCGGGUAGUC